This 692-nucleotide long non-coding RNA is filed under the name Rattus norvegicus (Norway rat). RNAcentral describes it as "long non-coding RNA NONRATT029329". Lineage: Eukaryota; Metazoa; Chordata; Mammalia; Rodentia; Muridae. The record is from RNAcentral.
GAAAGGAAGGGGAGGCACAGACUGCACACAUCUGUCAAACGGGACCUGGACCCAGGACAACCAUCAGGGCCCAGAGCAGCCAAAACCAGACAAAAUAAGACCCGGAAAUAAACUGAGAGCGAACAGUGCCCACUCGCCGCCCGGCAAUAGUCUGAUGUGUGGCUACUUAGAGGGAGGUGCUGUGGUGUCCUUGGCUUAUUUCAAUGUCGCUGCUGCUCUGAGAAUGGAUUUUCAAAUGCAUCUCGGACUCCGAAAACCCACAUGGGUUCAAGAAAAUUCGAAGACCUCAGGAUAUUUUGCAAUCCGUCAAAAGUAACUCUGUUUUUGCUUUAGAAGAAAAUGUCUAAUGGUGGGGAAACUGUAGGAAAGGCUCAGGGUUCUGCUGUGAGCCUUUAUGGCUGCUGGAAGCUUCCACCGACCCGGGGACUGUCAAAAGUUAGACAUCUUGCUUCACUCUUUUUUUCCCAGUGUAGAGUCCAGUGCUGAAGUCAUUAUGGGCACUGGCAUGGUGUGUGAGCAGCUGCUCUGGAGUCUUUCGUGAAAGAACUGAUGACCAUUCACAACAGUUAAAAUAAGUCACUCCUCUACGGAUAGAAACUGCAUCGGCUGACACCUGAUAAUUACACAUGUGCUAGACUCUGCCACGUCAACCCUAUAUUUUCAACAGUAAAAUCUGAUCAUACUUUCUUCAA